Molecule: ribosomal RNA, 506 nt
Filed under: uncultured bacterium
Lineage: Bacteria
Description: partial 16S ribosomal RNA
Rfam family: Bacterial small subunit ribosomal RNA
Source: RNAcentral
GAUGAACGCUAGCUACAGGCUUAACACAUGCAAGUCGAGGGGUAACGAGAGGAAAGCUUGCUUUCCUUGUCGACGACCGGCGCACGGGUGAGUAACGCGUAUCCAACCUGCCCCCAACUAGGGAAUAACCUUGCGAAAGUAAGACUAAUACCCUAUAAUUUCCUCAGAUGACAUCUGACGAGGAAUAAAGAUUUAUCGGUUGUGGAUGGGGAUGCGUCUGAUUGGCUUGUUGGCGGGGUAACGGCCAACCAAGGCAACGAUCAGUAGGGGUUCUGAGAGGAAGGUCCACCACAUUGGAACUGAGACACGGUCCAAACUCCUACGGGAGGCAGCAGUGAGGAAUAUUGGUCAAUGGGCGAAAGCCUGAACCAGCCAAGUAGCGUGCAGGAUGACGGCCCUAUGGGUUGUAAACUGCUUUUAUACAGGAAUAAAGUUAGCCACGUGUGGUUAUUUGUAGGUACUGUAUGAAUAAGGACCGGCUAAUUCCGUGCCAGCAGCCGCCGUAA